AUUUAGAGGAAGUAAAAGUCGUAACAAGGUUUCCGUAGGUGAACCUGCGGAAGGAUCAUUACCGAGUGCGGGCUCUCGCAGCCCAACCUCCCACCCGUGUUUACCGUGACCCUGUUGCUUCGGCGGGCCCACUGGGCCUAUGCCUGGUCGCCGGGGGGCGUCUCGUCCCCGGGUCCGCGCCCGCCGGAGAAUCUCUGAACCCUGUCUGAAGUAAGUGUCUGAGUGAAGAUUUUAAAUCAUUAAAACUUUCAGCAACGGAUCUCUUGGUUCCGGCAUCGAUGAAGAACGCAGCGAAAUGCGAUAAGUAAUGUGAAUUGCAGAAUUCCGUGAAUCAUCGAAUCUUUGAACGCACAUUGCGCCCCUUGGUAUUCCAUGGGGCAUGCCUGUUCGAGCGUCAUUUGUACCUUCAAGCUCUGCUUGGUGUUGGGUGUUUGUCCCGCCUCUGCGCGUGGACUCGCCUCAAAGCAAUUGGCAGCCGGCGUAUAGAUUUCAGAGCGCAGCACAAAACGCGCUUUGAUAACCAGUACGACGGCGUCCAGUAAGCCUUUUUUCAACUCUUGACCUCGGAUCAGGUAGGGAUACCCGCUGAACUUAAGCAUAUCAAUAAG
This 608-nucleotide ribosomal RNA is filed under the name uncultured fungus. RNAcentral's name for it is "eukaryotic LSU rRNA". The stretch from base 244 to 397 matches the Rfam family "5.8S ribosomal RNA". Lineage: Eukaryota; Fungi. The record is from RNAcentral.